GACUACCAAAAAGGAAAGAUCAGUUGAAAAAUAGAGAAGAUAUAUGUAACCAGUAUGAACAAACAGGUUACGUAAGCAAGACAGAAAAUUCGGGGUACUUGUACAUAGACUCCGUUCAAACUAAUUCAGAGGAUAAAGACGUUAAUAUGGAAAACAUGCUGGUGCCUUUCACAAAGAACAAAGCAGGAAAGAAGAUUGAGCUUAAGCAAAAGAAGAUGUUGGUUACUAAGACAACUGUUACCACGGUGAUGAGAGUUGAGGACCUCCCCGCCGAUUUUUGUCCGGAAUCUGGGGGUAUACCGGUGGAUUACUCAAAAUCCACGUAUUUAGUGCCCGUGAAGAGUGACUCGAAGUUGUUCUAGAGAUGAACCAAGAAAUAUCUAAAGCUCAACAUUCAGAAGUGUUAUACAUGUAUAUGAAGAAGAUUCCUCCAAUGAACUUUUUUUAAUAGUUGGUUUUUUACAUUGGAUCAUAUGAUGAUUUAUUUAUACAACGUAGUGUAUAGUAAAUUUUUCAUAUAUUCUGAAUUUCACUAUACUGAAAGUAUAUGUUUGCCAUUCGUAUUGUUGAUAAUACGUUUAUAAUACUGAAUUCCACAUCACAUUAAAAUAUUUUCCUUCAAUGGAUAUGAUUAUUGAAUGAAAAGGGUGAAACAAUGAUCAAACUUUAAAAUUCUAUAAACAAUACAAAUACUAGU
This is a long non-coding RNA of Saccostrea cuccullata (small rock oyster), 697 nucleotides long. RefSeq lists it as uncharacterized. The transcript has 4 exons. Lineage: Eukaryota; Metazoa; Mollusca; Bivalvia; Ostreida; Ostreidae. The record is from RefSeq and is a predicted model, not a curated record.